CAGGCCUAACACAUGCAAGUCGGACGCCGCAGUCGCCUUCGGGCGGCAUGUGGAGUGGCGGACGGGUGAGUAACGCGUAGGAACCUACCCGGAAGUGGGGGACAACCGCUGGAAACGGCGGCUAAUACCGCAUACGCCCCAAGGGGGGAAGGCUUCGGCCGCUUUCGGAGGGUCCUGCGUUCGAUUAGCUAGUCGGUGAGGUGACGGCUCACCGAGGCGACGAUCGAUAGCUGGUCUGAGAGGAUGAUCAGCCACACUGGGACUGAGACACGGCCCAGACUCCUACGGGAGGCAGCAGUGGGGAAUAUUGGACAAUGGGCGAAAGCCUGAUCCAGCAAUGCCGCGUGUGUGACGAAGGCCUUAGGGUUGUAAAGCACUUUCGCCCGCGAGGAUGAUGACGGUAGCGGGAGAAGAAGCCCCGGCUAACUCCGUGCCAGCAGCCGCGGUAAUACGGAGGGGGCGAGCGUUGCUCGGAAUUACUGGGCGUAAAGGGCGUGUAGGCGGCCUUGUCAGUCAGGCGUGAAAUCCCCGGGCUCAACCUGGGACGUGCGCUUGAUACUGCAGGGCUUGAGAGCGAGAGAGGUAAGCGGAAUUCCCAGUGUAGAGGUGAAAUUC
RNAcentral lists this ribosomal RNA (615 nucleotides) under uncultured bacterium. RNAcentral describes it as "bacterial SSU rRNA". It matches the Rfam family "Bacterial small subunit ribosomal RNA", at positions 43 to 689 of the family's 1533-position model. The record is from RNAcentral.